This 272-nucleotide ribosomal RNA is filed under the name uncultured Pseudomonas sp. Its description in RNAcentral is "partial 16S ribosomal RNA". It matches the Rfam family "Bacterial small subunit ribosomal RNA", at positions 1113 to 1382 of the family's 1533-position model. Lineage: Bacteria; Pseudomonadati; Pseudomonadota; Gammaproteobacteria; Pseudomonadales; Pseudomonadaceae. The record is from RNAcentral.
AGUUACCAGCACGUUAUGGUGGGCACUCUAAGGAGGACUGCCGGUGGACAAACCGGAGGAAGGUGGGGAUGACGUCAAGUCAUCAUGGCCCUUACGGCCUGGGCUACACACGUGCCACAAUGGUCGGUACAAAGGGUUGCCAAGCCGCGAGGUGGAGCUAAUCCCAUAAAACCGAUCGUAGUCCGGAUCGCAGUCUGCAACUCGACUGCGUGAAGUCGGAAUCGCUAGUAAUCGUGAAUCAGAAUGUCACGGUGAAUACGUUCCCGGGCCUU